Molecule: ribosomal RNA, 271 nt
Filed under: uncultured bacterium
Lineage: Bacteria
Description: partial 16S ribosomal RNA
Source: RNAcentral
CUGCUGCCUCCCGUAGGAGUCUGGUCCGUGUCUCAGUACCAGUGUGGGGGACCUUCCUCUCAGAACCCCUACGCAUCGUCGCCUUGGUGGGCCGUUACCCCGCCAACUAGCUAAUGCGCCGCAUGCCCAUCCUCCGCCGGAAUCGCUUCCUUUAACACCCGUGGGAUGCCCCACAGAUGUACCACGCGGUAUUAGUCCGGAUUUCUCCGGGUUAUCCCCCGUGCGGAGGGCAGGUUGCAUACGUGUUACUCACCCGUGCGCCGGUCGCCGG